UUGGGCGUCGGCUAGGAGUGCUCAGAGCGUGGAUUAACUCCAGUCUCCUAUCAGGUGUGUAUUUUCUCGCUACUCUAGCUGUAGGAUGGCUACUUCGGGCCGCGAUGGGCUGAAAGGGGUCAUGUGGGCCUAAUGGGCCUACGGGCCCAAUUGGAUAAGUUUGUUUGAUUGUGUAGUAAAUAUUGGACUAGGCUAGGAGAAUCUCAUAUUUGUGGCUAGAUUUGGGCUAAAAGGGCCACACGAGCGUGUGGGCCCAUUUGGGCCGAAAAUAGGCUUUAGGCCCAUUCGUAUUGUUAUCCCUGUUUAGAAUACUUUAGUUUACCAAAUUACUGAAAUGCCCUCGAUUUGUAAAAUUACUGUUUUACCCUCAAUUUAUAGAAUUACCAUUUUACCCUCGAUUUAUAGAAUUACUAUUUUACCCUCGAUUUAUAAAAUAACCAUUUUACCCUCAGUUUACAAAAUUACUGUUUUACCCUCGAUUGUGAAAUUACUGAAAUACCCCUGUAGGAUAGAAUUACCAAAAUAUCCCUAGUUUGUAAAAUUACCAAAAUACCCCUAGUUUGUAAAAUUACCAAAAUAACCCUAGUUUGUAAAAUUACUGAAAUACCACUGGUUUGUGAAAUUACCGAAAUACCCUCAAUUUGUAAAAUUACCAAAAUACCCCUAAUUUACAAAAUUACAGAAACACCCUUGACUUUCUAAAAAUUAUAGAAAUACCAUUGGUUUACAAAAUUACUAAAAUACCCUUGGUUUGUAAAUUUACCAAAACACCCUUGUAGGAUGAAAUGACUAAAAUACCCCUAAUAGGUAAAAAGACCGUAAAGCCCCUGUAGGGUAAAGUGACCGUAAUACCCUUGUAUGGUAAAAUGACGAAUAUGCCCUUAUGUUCCGUAUGACUGAUGUGCUUAGGACUUACAUAUAUUGAUAUUGGGUUAGUUAAGUUUGAGUGAUAGGUGGUGGUUAUCGUAGGUGAUUGAUUUUGGAAACGUUUCAACUUCAACCCAUAACAUGUGUGUAAUAACCCUCGCAGUAGCUUAGAUUAAUAUUCGCCGAAAAGCUAAAAUGCUAAAAUUUUAGCAUUUCAGGAACUUGUGAUUUUGCCUUUUCUUAAAGAUGCGAUAGAUACAAUAUGAUCUGUGUUUGGAUCGAUGGAGCAGGUAAGAGCGCAAUUUUGUGCACGAUGGUAAGUUGGGCCUCAAUGGGCUGGAAUCGGGACCAAUGGGCUUUCGGGCCCAUUUGGGUAAAACUGAUAGAAAAUGGAAUCUGGAAAAGUUGCAUGUUAACACGGUUAGUACUGUUGUAAAAUUUGGAUUAAGCGGGCUUAGUGGGUUAAAUCAGCAUUCGUAGGGCCCAUUAGAUGUUUUGGGCCCAAAAGCCCGAAUUUGAUAAAGUGGGUUAAAGAUCAAUGUUUAAACACUUGAAAAUAUUGAUAACUGUUAAUGAACAUGGAAAACCCUAAUAUUUGGUAAAAUUACGAAGUUACCCUUAUAAUAUGAAAAAUGACUCUUUUGCCCUUGUGGGCAAGUGACUGACUUGGACUGUGUGGUCGAUUGAUUUGAUUGUGAAUAUAUGUUGGUGAUAUGAAUGACUUGACUGUGAUUGUUUGAUUCAAAUAUGGGCAUGACAUUCUGCAUACAUAACAUGUUGCAUGGGUUGGGUUUUAUAAAUGGAGGAAGUGCUAAAAGGGCUAUGCCUCAGUUUACCGAAAAGGGUUUUGCCCCAGUUUACCGAAAAGGGCUUUGUCCCAGUUUAUGAAAAAGGGCUUUGCCCCAGUUAUUAAAAGAGGCUAGCCCUCUAGUUAUAUGAAAAAGUAGCUAUACUGCCAGUGGAGAGUUUGAUUGGAUGGGUUGAGUUAUUCCCCACAUGGAGAGCUUGGUUGGUACGGGUGGAGAGUAGCAGAUGGUGGGUUGAGUAGUCUCCCCAAAUGGGCUUGCAUACAUUCAUUGGUAUUUCAUGUGAUAUUGAAAUGGGCUUGCAUACAUUCAUUGAUAUUUCAUGUGUUAUUGAAAUGGGCCUAUGGGCCAUACCGUUUACAAUAAAGGCUUCGGCCCAGUGAUAUGAUUUAUGAAAAGGCUUCGGCCCAGUAUAUGUCGAGACUGAAUUAGGGCUUAGGCCCAUACUGCUACUGUUUAAGUGCUAAGGCCCAGACUAUACUGUUACUGAAUAGGGCUUUGGCCCAGAUUGUACUGACACUAUGUCAUUCACUGUUUAUUUGUUGUUGGGGAUUACACACUGAGUUUUCGUAAACUCACCCCGUUUCUAACUGUGCAGGUAAUCCCUAAGCUUAGAUGGUUUGGAGCUGCGAGGGACUCGGAGAUGGCCACACUACUGUUUCUGUUUCUUUUAAUUACAAUAAGUAGCCGAUUUAUUUCUUUAUAAGUUUUAUCUUAUUAAUAUUAUUAUUUGGUUUUGGGUUGUAAUAAGGCCAUUUUAAUUAUUUUUCUGGGAUUAUUUUAUC
Molecule: long non-coding RNA, 2458 nt
Filed under: Gossypium barbadense (sea-island cotton)
Lineage: Eukaryota; Viridiplantae; Streptophyta; Magnoliopsida; Malvales; Malvaceae
Description: long non-coding RNA (GBAR_LNC008127)
Source: RNAcentral